This 260-nucleotide ribosomal RNA is filed under the name uncultured bacterium. RNAcentral describes it as "partial 16S ribosomal RNA". It matches the Rfam family "Bacterial small subunit ribosomal RNA", at positions 524 to 779 of the family's 1533-position model. The record is from RNAcentral.
UACGAAGGGGGCUAGCGUUGCUCGGAAUCACUGGGCGUAAAGGGUGCGUAGGCGGGUCUUUUAAGUCAGGGGUGAAAUCCUGGAGCUCAACUCCAGAACUGCCUUUGAUACUGAGGAUCUUGAGUUCGGGAGAGGUGAGUGGAACUGCGAGUGUAGAGGUGAAAUUCGUAGAUAUUCGCAAGAACACCAGUGGCGAAGGCGGCUCACUGGCCCGAUACUGACGCUGAGGCGCGGAAAGCGUGGGGGAGCAAACAGGGAUU